This 208-nucleotide unclassified non-coding RNA is filed under the name uncultured Phialophora. RNAcentral's name for it is "sequence contains ITS1". RNAcentral also lists the same sequence under 1 other name. Lineage: Eukaryota; Fungi; Ascomycota; Leotiomycetes. The record is from RNAcentral.
CCGAGUUAGGGUGUCGCCUCGGCGCGCCCGACCUCCCAACCCUUUGUCUACCUUACCACAACGUUGCUUCGGCAGGCCCGCCGACCCCUAGAGUCCGCUCUGGGGCGAGGCCGCCGGGGGCUCUGUGCCCCGGGCCCGCGCCUGUCGAUGGCCCCUCUUAAACUCAUGUCUAAACGUGUCGUCUGAGUAAUAAUUAUAAUGCAAACCA